UUGUAAUGAUGCUGAUCCAAAUGUCUGACCUGAAAAUAACUUGUAGACAGCAAAUUGAACACUGAAGAA
Molecule: small nucleolar RNA, 69 nt
Organism: Mesocricetus auratus (golden hamster)
Lineage: Eukaryota; Metazoa; Chordata; Mammalia; Rodentia; Cricetidae
Source: Ensembl